CCUACGGGAGGCAGCAGUGAGGAAUAUUGGUCAAUGGCCGGAAGGCUGAACCAGCCAUGCCGCGUGAAGGUCAGUGCCCUAUGGGCGUUAAACUUCUUUUGUGCGGGAGCAAUAAUGGUCACGUGUGGCCAGACGAGAGUACCGUACGAAUAAGCAUCGGCUAACUCCGUGCCAGCAGCCGCGGUAAUACGGGGGGUGCAAGCGUUAUCCGGAUUUAUUUGGUCUAAAGGUUGCGUAGGCUGGUAGGUAAGUCAGAGGUGAAAUGCCCCGGCUCAACGGGGUGAAGUGCCAUUGAUACUGCCGAGCUGGAAUGCGGAUGCGGUGGGAGGAAUGUGUGGUGUAGCGGUGAAAUGCAUAGAUAUCACACAGAACACCGAUUGCGAAGGCAACUAACG
RNAcentral lists this ribosomal RNA (395 nucleotides) under uncultured bacterium. Its description in RNAcentral is "partial 16S ribosomal RNA". It matches the Rfam family "Bacterial small subunit ribosomal RNA", at positions 338 to 730 of the family's 1533-position model. The record is from RNAcentral.